RNAcentral lists this small RNA (816 nucleotides) under Arabidopsis thaliana (thale cress). RNAcentral's name for it is "ATSL267640". The record is from RNAcentral. Lineage: Eukaryota; Viridiplantae; Streptophyta; Magnoliopsida; Brassicales; Brassicaceae.
AGGGUUUUCCCUAGGGCAUCCACUAUUAUCUCGUUUUUCAUUCACUUUAACAUUUCGCAACUUUCAUAGCCGCAGUGUUUCUCCUGCGACUUUGUAUUUUCACUUUCAAGUAUUUGAUAUUCAGUUUUCGUUUAAGUCUUUCGUCAUUUCUGUUAUUAUGUUUUCAAUCGUUGCUUUGUUAUUGUCUUUGAUUAUGUCUGAGUAGUGAACCGUAUUUCUGAGGAUGGGAUAGAUUAGUUGUGGUUUACUUGGUCAUUUUAGGUGGUUGAGUUUAGAAUACUAGAAUCCCUUCUGGAUUUGUUGCGCUUACUGCUUGUUUCACAGGCUAAUGUGGAAUAUGUGUCCAGGUGUCCAGCGCUCAGAAGGUGUUUAAUGGGCGUUGGAUCCUAUUAAUUCCAGAGAUAUCUGACUCUACCCCAAGGGAUUGGCUGUAGAGAGGGUAUUGGCUUUAACAUGUUGAUUCGAUAAUGCCUGCUUAGUUAGAGAUCGCUAAUGGGAAUUAGAUCAGUGUCUAGCUUUGCUUGAGGAUUUCUAUCACGGGAGUGAAUUAAUCUGUUGUUGAACUUGUUGUCUAGGGAUAGCUUCUGUGAAGUUUUGUCAACCACCUGAAUAGAUUAAGGAGACCACACUAUUCGAUUACCCCAUCCUUAGGAAUCGUUUAUCCAUUUGAUUGCCUGCUAUCAUUUCUGCUUUGUUAUUCAGCUGCCUGCUAUUGACAUUUCUGCUUUUAGUUUCAUUUCCUUUCUGUUAUUGCAUACUAGGACUGUUAAAACCAACCAACUAUCUGCUUGGCUUGAUUUAGAGCUUUUAAUCAUA